UCGGCUUGGAGAAAAGCAGGGGAUCGCAGGACCUUGCGCUGAUUGAGCGGCCGAUAUCAGAUUAGCUAGUUGGUGGCGUAAAGGCCUACCAAGGCUACGAUCUGUAGCGGGUCUGAGAGGAAGAUCCGCCACACUGGAACUGAGACACGGUCCAGACUCCUACGGGAGGCAGCAGUGGGGAAUUUUGGACAAUGGGGGCAACCCUGAUCCAGCCAUGCCGCGUGAGUGAAGAAGGCCUUCGGGUUGUAAAGCUCUUUCGGCCGGAAAGAAAUCGCAUAGGUUAAUACCGUGUGUGGAUGACGAGUAC
RNAcentral lists this ribosomal RNA (307 nucleotides) under uncultured beta proteobacterium. RNAcentral's name for it is "bacterial SSU rRNA". It matches the Rfam family "Bacterial small subunit ribosomal RNA", at positions 191 to 478 of the family's 1533-position model. The record is from RNAcentral. Lineage: Bacteria; Pseudomonadati; Pseudomonadota; Betaproteobacteria.